UAACGUUGGCGGCGUGCAUAACACAUGCAAGUUGAGCGUGGCCUUAGUUUACUAAGGUCUAGCAGCGGACGGCUGAGUAAUGCACAGGAACGUACCUCGAAGUGGGGGAUAGCCCUUCGAAAGAAGGGGUAAUACCGCAUGUGCUCGCAAGAGCAAAGCCGCAAGGCGCUUUGAGAACGGCCUGUGUCCUAUCAGGUUGUUGGUGGGGUAAUAGCCUACCAAGCCUAUGACGGGUAGCUGGUCUGAGAGGAUGACCAGCCAGAUCGGGACUGAGACACGGCCCGAACUCCUACGGGAGGCAGCAGUUGGGAAUUUUGCGCAAUGGACGAAAGUCUGACGCAGCGACGCCGCGUGGAGGAUGAAGGC
RNAcentral lists this ribosomal RNA (366 nucleotides) under uncultured bacterium. RNAcentral's name for it is "bacterial SSU rRNA". It matches the Rfam family "Bacterial small subunit ribosomal RNA", at positions 32 to 415 of the family's 1533-position model. The record is from RNAcentral.